Peromyscus eremicus (cactus mouse) is the source of this 748-nucleotide long non-coding RNA. RefSeq lists it as uncharacterized. The transcript has 2 exons. Lineage: Eukaryota; Metazoa; Chordata; Mammalia; Rodentia; Cricetidae. The record is from RefSeq and is a predicted model, not a curated record.
GCCCGCUGCAGCUCUUCCUGGGCGUUGCUGGACGUCGAGGACCGUCUCUUCGUUCCACAGGACUGUCUGUCCCCGCCGUCGCGAGGGGGAGCCCGCUCCCCCUCGGGGUUAACUCCUAGCUCCGAGAUCCUGGCGGCGGCGGCGCCUCCUUAAGCAAGCCGACGGCCGCCGCCGCCGCCGUCGCUAUGGACACGAAGGCGGCCCCUAUUGGAGUAGCGUUCUGGGGGCGUGGCCUUCCCGGGAACCACACCCCUUUUGGUGCCAGCCGAAGCCAUCUUGGCCCCCGACUGUCGGGUUUUGCCGGGUGCGGCUGGAGGUCAAAGUGUAUAAGAGCCCGCGUUCAGCUAAGCGGGAUUCUUUCCAAUGCAUUAUGGGACUUGUAGUCCUCACGCAUUGGUGACUUUCCUGGAUUCCCAUGGCCAAGGCAAACAAGAGGUUGUCUCACACUGGAGAAGCCAAGAGUUGUUGUUCAGUAGUAGUUCAGUCUACAAGGCUGCAUGUCUCAGCAGUCCCUUUCUGGCCCUGGAGGCCUGAAGGAUUCUUGGAGAGCUUCAGGUCUUCGGUCUACAUAGGAAUCCCAAAGAAGUUGGUCCUAAUAUUUGUGGGUGUUUUUGUUUUGUUUUGAGAUGGGUUUUUCUAUGUAGCCCUGGCAGGCCUGGAUCUCACUAUGUAAACCAAGAUAUACUCAAAUUCACAGAGAUCUGCCUGCUUCUGCCUCCUGAGUGAUGGGAUUAAAGGUGUUAUACCA